CAGGACGCAUGUCGUGUCGGGAAAGAUUCAUCGGUAUGGGAUGGGGUCGCGUCCUAUCAGCUUGAUGGCGGGGUAACGGCCCACCAUGGCUUCGACGGGUAGCCGGCCUGAGAGGGCGACCGGCCACAUUGGGACUGAGAUACGGCCCAGACUCCUACGGGAGGCAGCAGUGGGGAAUAUUGCACAAUGGGCGCAAGCCUGAUGCAGCGACGCCGCGUGCGGGAUGACGGCCUUCGGGUUGUAAACCGCUUUUGACUGGGAGCAAGCCCUUCGGGGUGAGUGUACCUUUCGAAUAAGCACCGGCUAACUACGUGCCAGCAGCCGCGGUAAUACGUAGGGUGCAAGCGUUAUCCGGAAUUAUUGGGCGUAAAGGGCUCGUAGGCGGUUCGUCGCGUCCGGUGUGAAAGUCCAUCGCUUAACGGUGGAUCCGCGCCGGGUACGGGCGGGCUUGAGUGCGGUAGGGGAGACUGGAAUUCCCGGUGUAACGGUGGAAUGUGUAGAUAUCGGAAAAGAACACCA
RNAcentral lists this ribosomal RNA (519 nucleotides) under Bifidobacterium adolescentis JCM 15918. Its description in RNAcentral is "bacterial SSU rRNA". It matches the Rfam family "Bacterial small subunit ribosomal RNA", at positions 182 to 711 of the family's 1533-position model. The record is from RNAcentral. Lineage: Bacteria; Bacillati; Actinomycetota; Actinomycetes; Bifidobacteriales; Bifidobacteriaceae.